Molecule: long non-coding RNA, 226 nt
Filed under: Panthera leo (lion)
Lineage: Eukaryota; Metazoa; Chordata; Mammalia; Carnivora; Felidae
Description: lncRNA (ENSPLOG00000004009.1)
Source: RNAcentral
GGGUGUCAGCUUGCAGAAAGGCAUCCGCCUUAUAGGACCUACUGGAGGUGCAGGAGUGACUGGGCCUGCCUUCACCUUAGCGAGUACCCAGAGUGAUGGCGAUGGUGAUGGCGGCAGUUACUCGGACAGCCCCAGUUAAGCUGCGCUCUGAGAGAUACAUCCAGAGAGUGCCCAGAAGAAACUCCCUCCUGGAAAAACUAAAAAAGCAGUAUUUAUAACACUGGAA